ACCGCUUUUCAGUCUUUUGACUGAGAUCUAAAAGCAGUGUGUGUUCUUCUUAGUUUAGUAUCUGAUACGUUCUUUCUCCAAGAACAACAUAUUAAACGAGGGUUUUGGGGCUGGGUUUGUCCACUCCAUGCAUCGGCCUGGUUGUUACAGUACUUCUACGAACGGCGUAUCCCUC
This 175-nucleotide small nuclear RNA is filed under the name Carlito syrichta (Philippine tarsier). RNAcentral's name for it is "U2 spliceosomal RNA (ENSTSYG00000024478.2)". It matches the Rfam family "U2 spliceosomal RNA". Rfam says of the family: U2 is a small nuclear RNA (snRNA) component of the spliceosome (involved in pre-mRNA splicing). Complementary binding between U2 snRNA (in an area lying towards the 5' end but 3' to hairpin I) and the branchpoint sequence (BPS) of the intron results the bulging out of an unpaired adenosine, on the BPS, which initiates a nucleophilic attack at the intronic 5' splice site, thus starting the first of two transesterification reactions that mediate splicing. The record is from Rfam by way of RNAcentral. Lineage: Eukaryota; Metazoa; Chordata; Mammalia; Primates; Tarsiidae.